Molecule: ribosomal RNA, 449 nt
Filed under: uncultured bacterium
Lineage: Bacteria
Description: partial 16S ribosomal RNA
Rfam family: Bacterial small subunit ribosomal RNA
Source: RNAcentral
GUCGAGAAUCUUUCACAAUGGGGGCAACCCUGAUGGAGCGACGCCGCGUGGAGGAUAAGGUCUUCGGAUUGUAAACUCCUGUCAUGCGUGAACAAGGUUGCUUGGUUAAUACCUGGGCAAAUUGAUGGUAACGCAAGAGGAAGAGACGGCUAACUCUGUGCCAGCAGCCGCGGUAAUACAGAGGUCUCAAGCGUUGUUCGGAAUCACUGGGCGUAAAGGGUGCGUAGGUGGCGUGGUAAGUCAGCUGUGAAAGCCCGGGGCUCAACCUCGGAACUGCAUCCGAUACUGCCAUGCUAGAGUACUGGAGAGGUGACUAGAAUUCUCGGUGUAGCAGUGAAAUGCGUAGAUAUCGAGAGGAAUACCAAAGGCGUAGGCAGGUCACUGGACAGUUACUGACACUGAGGCACGAAGGCCAGGGGAGCGAACGGGAUUAGAAACCCCGGUAGUCC